Molecule: ribosomal RNA, 465 nt
Filed under: Vreelandella stevensii
Lineage: Bacteria; Pseudomonadati; Pseudomonadota; Gammaproteobacteria; Oceanospirillales; Halomonadaceae
Description: partial 16S ribosomal RNA
Rfam family: Bacterial small subunit ribosomal RNA
Source: RNAcentral
CCUACGGGGGGCUGCAGUGGGGAAUAUUGGACAAUGGGCGAAAGCCUGAUCCAGCCAUGCCGCGUGUGUGAAGAAGGCCUUCGGGUUGUAAAGCACUUUCAGUGGGGAAGAAAGCCUUGGGGCUAAUACCCUCGAGGAAGGACAUCACCCACAGAAGAAGCACCGGCUAACUCCGUGCCAGCAGCCGCGGUAAUACGGAGGGUGCGAGCGUUAAUCGGAAUUACUGGGCGUAAAGCGCGCGUAGGCGGUCUGAUAAGCCGGUUGUGAAAGCCCCGGGCUCAACCUGGGAACGGCAUCCGGAACUGUCAGGCUAGAGUACAGGAGAGGAAGGUAGAAUUCCCGGUGUAGCGGUGAAAUGCGUAGAGAUCGGGAGGAAUACCAGUGGCGAAGGCGGCCUUCUGGACUGACACUGACGCUGAGGUGCGAAAGCGUGGGUAGCAAACAGGAUUAGAUACCCUGGUAGUC